GUUGUUAUAGGCCCUUUUUGCUGAGUUCUGCAUGACUGUUCUACAUGAGAUAUAGAAGUUAAGGGGAAAAAAUAUUAAAGAUGCAUAAGGAAAAGCUAUCAGAAAUGUGCCCAGAUUUCACAUUACCUUAUGGAAAGGAUAGAGGUUGGCAUUUUCACUAGUACCUAAGCCUAUUCCAGAAAUUUCCAGGAUUUUGCAUCACAUCAGAAAUCCCUAAUCCUCAAAUGAAGAUUCUGCCCGAUAUCCAACAAAACACUCAAGACUCAGCCUCAAGUGUUUGGAAACCAGAUCCAAAAAUAGAGGAAUAAUUUUCCUAUCAUGAAUUAAUCUCAUUUGAAAAUGAUUUUAAAAAUACAGUUUAUGCAAUGCAAAUCCUCACUCCCAGAAUAACCUGUAUUUGUGGUUGUUAUGCCAGAGUCAAGAGAUAAAUUACUGCUCAGUGAGCUGUUUCAGCAUGGCAACGUGAACUGCAGCUAGGAUUAACGAAACUGAUGAAGCAUAACAUACCAUGAAAGAAAUGAAAACAUUUUAUAGGACACAUGGGUAUUAUUGACAGGUUUCUACUUUUUAGAUACAAUGAACUCUUUCAGCAGGAGAUCCUAUUUGAAAAGUAUCCUUUAUUAGAAAUUUAUAUGCCACAUUUAAAAGUAUUCACACUUUCAGUCCCCACGUUAUUAUGCGUUAUAUAACACAUUUCAAUUUAAUUGGAGUAACAUUGUGUUGUGAUGCUGAAUGUUUAAUGGAGAUAAUAUUUUAGCUUUGUAGGGCAAGUUACACUUGUUUGAAGAUGAGACUUCCUAGGAUUUGUAAUUGGUAGUACAUAGUUCUUUGUAGGUAGAAGUAUAUCGAAACUAUGUCAGAUGAGGCCUUAGAAAAUCCAAGUCCUUUAACAGGUCAAGCCCUAACAAAAUCUUACUAAAGCUAUUACUAUCAAACUUUAUUUGGCUCUGAUCUAAAGAAAGACAACUUUCUUCAGACUUCUGUAUCUACUUAAACCCCCACAACUUUAGGAAUCUCUGGAGCUGUAUGGUAUUGCAUAUGCUCAGCAAAUGUUAGGAAAUAGCUUGGUAAAAUAAUACUCAUACACAAAGACUGUCAAACUGAAAAAGACAGUUUUUAGCAUUAGCAUUCUACUGUAACAAUAGCUAAAUAUUUCUUCUUCAGGAGUUUUGCUUUCUCAUUUCUUUCUUGAAGUAGUGAAAGGUUGAGGUAGAUUGAAACUAUGCUCUCAAAAGUAAUCAUGUGUUGGUAGAAAAUGAUGGGGCAUCUUUGCUUUCUGUUCCUCCUGGUAUCACAAAUUGGAAAAUUUUGUAGUUAAAGUGCAACCAAGAUCCAGUCUCUAUCGAAGCUGUGG
Molecule: long non-coding RNA, 1354 nt
Organism: Oxyura jamaicensis (ruddy duck)
Lineage: Eukaryota; Metazoa; Chordata; Aves; Anseriformes; Anatidae
Exons: 3
Source: RefSeq, a predicted model, not a curated record